GAUGAAGAACGUAGCGAAAUGCGAUAAGUAAUGUGAAUUGCAGAAUUCAGUGAAUCAUCGAAUCUUUGAACGCACAUUGCGCCCGCCAGUAUUCUGGCGGGCAUGCCUGUUCGAGCGUCAUUACAACCCUCAGGCCCCCGGGCCUGGCGUGGGGGAUCGGCGGAGCCCCCCGUGGGCACACGCCGUCCCCCAAAUGCAGUGGCGGUCCCGCCGCAGCUUCCAUCGCGUAGUAGCUAACACCUCGCGACUGGAGAGCGGCGCGGCCACGCCGUAAAACACCCAACUCUUCUGAAGUUGACCUCGAAUCAGGUAGGAAUACCCGCUGAACUUAAGCAUAUCAAUAAGCGGAGGA
Molecule: unclassified non-coding RNA, 352 nt
Filed under: soil metagenome
Description: partial contains 5.8S ribosomal RNA, internal transcribed spacer 2, and large subunit ribosomal RNA
Rfam family: 5.8S ribosomal RNA (bases 1-120)
Source: RNAcentral